RNAcentral lists this ribosomal RNA (387 nucleotides) under Staphylococcus aureus. Its description in RNAcentral is "bacterial SSU rRNA". It matches the Rfam family "Bacterial small subunit ribosomal RNA", at positions 1 to 377 of the family's 1533-position model. The record is from RNAcentral. Lineage: Bacteria; Bacillati; Bacillota; Bacilli; Caryophanales; Staphylococcaceae.
UUUAUGGAGAGUUUGAUCCUGGCUCAGGAUGAACGCUGGCGGCGUGCCUAAUACAUGCAAGUCGAGCGAACGGAUGAGAAGCUUGCUUCUCUGAUGUUAGCGGCGGACGGGUGAGUAACACGUGGAUAACCUACCUAUAAGACUGGGAUAACUUCGGGAAACCGGAGCUAAUACCGGAUAAUAUUUUGAACCGCAUGGUUCAAAAGUGAAAGACGGUCUUGCUGUCACUUAUAGAUGGAUCCGCGCUGCAUUAGCUGGUUGGUAAGGUAACGGCUUACCAAGGCAACGAUGCAUAGCCGACCUGAGAGGGUGAUCGGCCACACUGGAACUGAGACACGGUCCAGACUCCUACGGGAGGCAGCAGUAGGGAAUCUUCCGCAAUGGGCG